Molecule: ribosomal RNA, 254 nt
Filed under: uncultured bacterium
Lineage: Bacteria
Description: partial 16S ribosomal RNA
Rfam family: Bacterial small subunit ribosomal RNA
Source: RNAcentral
UACGGGGGGAGCAAGCGUUGGUCGGAUUUACUGGGCGUAAAGGGCGCGUAGGCGGCCAGCACAAGUCGGUUGUGAAAUCUCCGGGCUUAACUCGGAAAGGUCAACCGAUACUGUGCGGCUAGAGUGCGGAAGGGGCAACUGGAAUUCUCGGUGUAGCGGCGAAAUGCGUAGAUAUCUGGAGGAACACCGGUGGCGAAGGCGGCAUCCUGGACCGGCAUUGACGCUGAGGCGCGAAAGCCAGGGGAGCAAACGGG